Long non-coding RNA from Dicentrarchus labrax (European seabass), 3479 nucleotides. NCBI's taxonomy places the organism in Eukaryota, Metazoa, Chordata, Actinopteri, Moronidae. The record is from Ensembl.
AUCGCUCUGUUCUCCCUCCAGCUGUUCUCAAUCAUCAGUCGAAUCAGUCAUGAUGAUUCAGCGAAUCUGAAAAAUUCAUCGGUCUUUAUGAACGCGUUGUUCCGCCCAGUGAGUGUAUAUGGAAACUCUGGGAUUGGGUGAAAACUUGCUGCACCGUGGGAAGGGCUCGCAGACUGACUUACGCUUGAUAUGAACCAUUAGAACGUUUUGGAGGAUCGAACCACCAACCUUUCCGAACAGUGAGCGACCCACUGUACCUCUGAGCCACAGUCGACCCUCUCCUGUUUGUAUGAAGUGCAGCCAACCAGGGAGAAGAUGAUCUGCUGGAUCCUGCUGCUCAUCAACCUGACCUCCUGUGUCUGUGGUUAGUUUCCACCUUCACUUUAUUAUCCAUGAAGAGAAAAGUCCAAAUACACUUUCAGACUUCCAUCUUUCAAUCUGUAAGGAGGAAGGCCUCUACAGCACUGAGAGCAUCACUAAACUGUCCACAGAAACAUCUCUAGAUGGAGUUUAAAGGCUCACAUGUUAAAGUUGUCACUUUGUCUGGUCCUCACUUUCCCUCUCUGUCUCCUCAACAGGAACAUUUGUAGUGAAUGUGACACAGACCUCCUAUCAGGCAGAGGAGAACCAUAACAUCACACUGGAAUGGACGUUCACAACCAACACUGACAGUUCCCUCAACUCUCUUUCUAUCUACUGUGAACUGAGAGCUGAUCACAAGGUUUCAGUCCUGUACGAUCUAGAUAAAGGUGGGGAGAUCCCACUGGCUCAUGGUGAACAGUUUACAGGACGAGUCCAGUGUGACAAAGACGUCCUCAGAGAAGGACGAAUCAGACUUCAUGUGUCCAGACUCAGGACUGAAGACUCGGGCCUGUACCUGUGUGAAGUGAACCCAAAUCAUGGUGGCAGUUUGGGUGAAUAUCGACUCAACGUCACUGCAGCGAGGGAUUGGUCAGAACCUGAAAGACAAAAAUCACCAAGUCGGGGAAGGAUCGGCCUCUACUGUGGACUGGGACUGACAGCAGCAGCUCUGCUGGUUGUUCGUUGCCUUUUAUUCAUUCACUGUCUGCCUAGAGAACAAGAUUCAUACUCAGAGUCCAGUGGUGGAUGUGAGACAAGUUACAGCUCAGCAUCUGGAUCAGAGGAAACAAUUUGAUCAACAAUUUAAAGAAUAUUACAUAUAAAUGAACGUUUGUUGCAUUCAAGCCCUCGCCAAACGAGUUCCCACAAUGCUGAUGAAGCCUAUUACUGCCAGCUAAAUCUUGCACUAUAUGGAGAUUUGAAAUCUUUCAAACUUUCCCUCACUGGAGCAGCAGUAUUGAUACAUUUCACAUCAAUCAGCAAUACUGGAAUUUCAAUCCAAAAAGGGUUCAUUUAACCAGUAGAAGAACAACAGAACAACAACGCCUCAUAAAACUCUUUCACUUAUUAGACAGAUCUGAGAUCUGCACUGUGUGCACUUUAUUGAACUAAUGCAGUUAAACACGUCUACCUCAUAUCUGUGAAAUCUCUGUUGUUUUUUAACAUUUGCACUUAAAGCUCAAUGUGAGGAAUUUAUAUUGAUAUUCUAUUAUCUUUUUAUAAUAUUUAUAUUGUAUUUGAUCAUGUAGCUGACUCCUGCAGGAUGUAAUGAAGUGUUCAGGUUCAUCCUUCAGGUCUGCCUGUUGUGAUGUGUUAUGUUCACUGGCAUUAAACUGUAGUGGUACACAGGAAGUGUUGCUUUUGUUUAUAAUGAGAACAAAUGAUAAAAACAGUGUUGUUACAGUUGUGCAUUAUGUUAGUUGAUCCACAGUGAUCUGCUGCAGACAGCACAUGAUUGUUUAUUGUCUAACAUCAUGAAAACUGUAAAACUGCAGUUUGGACCUUCUGUUCAGAAUCUAUAUUCAGCUUUAACUUGACAGUGCAAUUUAAACUGAAGUGUACUGUUACUGUUACUCCUCAGCUGGCUGCAGGUUACAGCUGUGGCUCCUUGAAAUGUAACUGACUGUUUUAUAUUCAUAUGAAUCAUUUCAAACAUUAUUUGUCAGACAUUGAAAAUGUUUCUUGUGUGUUUCAGUAAAUCAGUUUAAUAAAUGAAAAUGUACAAUUUGAUGGAUCCAGAGUUCCUCAAAGAAUGUCUAAAUAUUAAAAUUAAAGGGAAACUUUUUGUAACCAAUACUGCAACAUUGUUUAGCUGCUGGAGGAUUUUUAUUUUCCUACCAAUUUAAUCAAACAUUUUAUUUCUUAUUUUUAAUGUUAUUCUUAUAUCUAUACAGUCUUAUUAUAAUGAUCGGUUGUGUGCAGAGCCUCACAUGAACUCUUACUACAGAAUCUGUGUUGAGUUUGAAGUCUGAAAGACUCAAAGAACAGCUGCUGUCUGACUGGACUUUAUUCUGAGUGGAGGAAAAUAGCUUCUACACAAGAAAAGUCUUCUUCAUGUCGACCCAACAAGGUUGGAUGUUAAAAAGGAAAAAAUAAAAUUUAAAUAUUAACACAAACGAGGGACUGAAAAGCAGGAAUCAUCUGUAAGACAUCUGUAAGACACAAUCCCUCCAUGCUGCUUCAUUCACACAAUAAAUAUACACAGUAAAAUAACAGCAAUUUAUUUUCAUAGAAAACAGUUACUUUUUAUGUUUUAAACAAAGUCAGAAAGUGCUUCAGAGUCAGAAGUUUUUUCUGAAGAAUCAAACAUUCUGUUUGGUUUUAGAAACAACUUCAAAAGCUGAAAUAUCACAAUAAUAAAUACAAAAGACACAUAAAUACUUAAAUAAAUGCUUCAAAUAGAGAAUUUAAGGGUCCUGGGUUUGAGUCCAACAGGUUUAUGUCCCCAAACUAUAACUGGAUAUUUGUGAAACUAAUGAAACCAUGGUCAGAUUAAAACAGAGAUUCAAAGUUUACAUGUUGAAUGUGUUUGUCUUCUCCUCCAGGCUGCUGCUGCUUUCAUUCUACUUCACUUUAAAUCAGCAUGCAGAGACUUUAACAUGCUCCACAUACUGUCUGUUAUUAAUGUGUCACUUUAGUUCUUGUUGGAUCAUGGUGCAGUGGACACUUUCCUAAUCAAUGUGCACUUUGAACUGCAGCAGCACAGCUCUGACAGCUACAGUAGAACACAUGAUGAGACAUGAUGUUCACUGUGAUGGAUGCUCUGACUCAAGUUUCAAUGGACUGCCUGGAGGAAGGCAAACACAUUCACAUAUACAUGUACAAUCACUGCAUUCAAUAUGAAAUAUAUACAAUACAAUAUGUACAAACACACUCCACUACAGUAGAUUCAGAUUAAUAAUGAGCAGUUAAGUAUAUGUUAGUAGCUGAAAGUGCUGGUAUGGAGGAAAAGCUUGUUUCAGUGCAGUUUGAGAGUCAACUUGCAGAAACUUUUUUUUUUUUUUUGUUGGUCUUGUGUUGAACACAUCACUGUUGUCUCCACCAGAGGUCACAUUCAGGAUGAAAUGUUCUGUGGGUUUAAAUCAGGAAGCUUCAGAUUCAUGAUCUUUUUAAAGUCA